GCCUUUGUGGUGUAGUAGUCAGCGGGCUCGACGUGUAUUCGAGAGAUCCGUGGUUCGAAUCCCGGUGAGAGCA
Molecule: transfer RNA, 73 nt
Filed under: Stegodyphus mimosarum
Lineage: Eukaryota; Metazoa; Arthropoda; Arachnida; Araneae; Eresidae
Rfam family: tRNA
About the family: Transfer RNA (tRNA) molecules are approximately 80 nucleotides in length.
Source: Rfam by way of RNAcentral